AAGUGGCACACAUCCCUUAUAGCUGAAAGAACACAUGAAGCGACCAGCGAGUGCAGACUGCCAAAUCGCAGGUUACGCCACAGUACGCUGAGCAGCACUGAGCUCUAGUGGAUGGAGAAUAGAGCAAGAAGAAGAGCCAGAAAUAUGUCUUAACUCCAACUGGGAGUGACAAACGGAAUGCAAGCACAUUGUGGAUCUUAUUUGGAGAAGAGUGCAAGCGAAGGAGUCUUCUUUUCGUUUCCUUUAAACAUGACAAUGUUAUUUAAGAGUCUCCCAUUACUUAACCACGAGAGUGUCAGUGCUAAGGAAUAAUUAAAAAAGUGAUAAGUUUAAAGUGUGCCGGAAGGUUGAAAUGAUAUUUUUAAUAUGCUCUUUCUAUAUCACAGAUUGUGAGUGGGUCAGAAAUAUAUCGCCCCAUUAAAUGAGAGUUCACUGUGCUUCAGCGAAUACAAGUCUGGUGAUUACACAAGGACUAAAAGGGGGAA
Long non-coding RNA from Hippocampus comes (tiger tail seahorse), 485 nucleotides. RefSeq lists it as uncharacterized. The record is from RefSeq and is a predicted model, not a curated record. Lineage: Eukaryota; Metazoa; Chordata; Actinopteri; Syngnathiformes; Syngnathidae. The transcript has 3 exons.